This 452-nucleotide ribosomal RNA is filed under the name uncultured bacterium. RNAcentral describes it as "bacterial SSU rRNA". It matches the Rfam family "Bacterial small subunit ribosomal RNA", at positions 340 to 786 of the family's 1533-position model. The record is from RNAcentral.
UACGGAAGGCAGCAGUGGGGAAUAUUGCACAAUGGGCGCAAGCCUGAUGCAGCCAUGCCGCGUGUAUGAAGAAGGCCUUCGGGUUGUAAAGUACUUUCAGUCGUGAGGAAGGUGUUAAGGUUAAUAACCUUAGCAAUUGACGUUAGCGACAGAAGAAGCACCGGCUAACUCCGUGCCAGCAGCCGCGGUAAUACGGAGGGUGCGAGCGUUAAUCGGAAUUACUGGGCGUAAAGGGCACGCAGGCGGUUAAUUAAGUUGGAUGUGAAAUCCCCGGGCUUAACCUGGGAAUGGCAUUCAAGACUGGUUAGCUAGAGUCUUGUAGAGGGGGUAGAAUUCCAUGUGUAGCGGUGAAAUGCGUAGAGAUGUGGAGGAAUACCGGUGGCGAAGGCGGCCCCUGGACAAAGACUGACGCUCAUGUGCGAAAGCGUGGGGAGCAAACAGGGAUUAGUACC